This is a long non-coding RNA of Peromyscus californicus insignis, 1019 nucleotides long. RefSeq lists it as uncharacterized. The record is from RefSeq and is a predicted model, not a curated record. The transcript has 4 exons. NCBI's taxonomy places the organism in Eukaryota, Metazoa, Chordata, Mammalia, Rodentia, Cricetidae.
GUCUCUGCGCUCUGGUUGGCUGAAGUGGAACCGGCUGGGGGCAGCCCAGAAAACAAAUCAGAGUCCCCAGAGGUUCCAGGGGGCAGUGAGGUCAUGGCCACCUGUCCAAAGGCACUCCACUACAGUAAUGAAAGGCUGCCCUACACAAUGACAGCAGAUGGCAUGAUGCAGAAAAAAAGAAGACAAAGACAACAGAAACGAAGAUGAGAAUAAGGAUUCAGAAAACUUGAUUCAAGGAUAGAACUGAGGAUUAGCCAUUCGAAUUUGUAACAAGCCUCAGAAUUGAUUCUGUUGAAGACAUUCCAUGGCCUACAUCAGCAAAACAAAACAACAAAACCCAACAGUUUCUGGUUAUUUUCUCUUUCUUGAGAUGUUGCUUCAUAAUCUCUUUAAGUAUGAAAGCCAGGCUGUUUCCCUAGUGACAAAGACCCCCUUAACAAGACAAGGCACUGGGAAGAUGCAUUCCCCAGGACAGUCAACCUGCCACACUGCUGUCCCAGAAUGGUGGGCAAGUGCACAUGAACAUGUGUGUGUGUGUCUGUGUGUGCACAUGUCUGAUGAAGUUACAAAAACCAAAAAGGAAAAAAAAGAAGAAAAUAAAAGAAACAAAUAGGAAGAGUCUUUUUACCCCAGAUGUAAUACCUGAAUGAAGUUGACUGUGUCUAAAUAAUGAAGUGAGGCAGGUUUAGUGAGAUGUUUGUUGGGCUCAUAACUGUUCUGGGGGGAGAUAUAUUAAUGGAAAGCUAAAUGGGGUCUUCUCUAGGUCAAGGUCUCCAUCUGAAUGUGUCUACAAAUCACUCUUCACAACCAAAUGACAUAAUGCAUAUACCAGAUGGGUUUUACCAUCCAUAAAAGCCAUUUCUGACUGCUGAUACAGGAGGGUUGGAAUGAAAUGGGAAAGCAAAUUGGCAAGCCCAUGCUGUUGGAGAAGAAUACAAUCUAAAUGGCCUUCAAGUGUUUUGUUUUGAUCUCCAUGUUUAUUUACAUAAUUGGGGGUCCAUAUGUAUUGUCUACUCCUA